UUAAUAUCACAGUUAUAUCGCAUGCUUCAUUGUACAAGAUCCUUUUUUCACAUUUAAUUUUGUUACUGACCGCUAGAAACAUGGGAUCUAUCAAGCAAGAAAAGGUGGAGAUGAGGAGGUUGUGGAUGAAGAUGCUCCUGUAGAGUGAAGAGUAUGAAGCAGAAGAUGCGGCCCAGAUUUAAUGAGGCAAUGGGGGAAGAGGUUGUGGCUGGGGCCAGUACCAUGGCUAGAGUCCGGACAUCCGCCAUCCAAUCAGCACUCCCCCCCCCUCUCGAAUCACAUUGGUAAGCAUCCAGUGGUGUCAAAGCCGCCUCCUGGUCUGCUUAUGCCAGAUGACACAAAAGGAUUUUCCAUGGGGCGAGGGAAACUCCAGGUCAGC
Long non-coding RNA from Hordeum vulgare subsp. vulgare (domesticated barley), 379 nucleotides. RefSeq lists it as uncharacterized. The transcript has 2 exons. The record is from RefSeq and is a predicted model, not a curated record. NCBI's taxonomy places the organism in Eukaryota, Viridiplantae, Streptophyta, Magnoliopsida, Poales, Poaceae.